This 460-nucleotide ribosomal RNA is filed under the name uncultured bacterium. RNAcentral's name for it is "partial 16S ribosomal RNA". It matches the Rfam family "Bacterial small subunit ribosomal RNA", at positions 338 to 795 of the family's 1533-position model. The record is from RNAcentral.
CCUACGGGGUGCAGCAGUGAGGAAUAUUGGUCAAUGGGCGCGAGCCUGAACCAGCCACGUAGCGUGAAGGAUGACUGCCCUACGGGUUGUAAACUUCUUUUAUAAAGGAAUACAGUGAGGCACGUGUGCCUUUUUGUAUUUACUUUAUGAAUAAGGAUCGGCUAACUCCGUUCCAGCAGCCGCGGUAAUACGGAGGAUCCGAGCGUUAUCCGGAUUUAUUGGGUUUAAAGGGAGCGUAGAUGGGUUGUUAAGUUAGUUGUGAAAGUUUGCGGCUCAACCGGAAAAUUGCAAUUGAUACUGGCAGCCUUGAGUACAGAUGAGGUAGGCGGAAUUCGUGGUGUAGCGGUGAAAUGCUUAGAUAUCACGAAGAACUCCGAUGGCGAAGGCAGCCUACUAAACUGCCACUGACAUUGAUGCUCGAAAGUGUGGGUAUCAAACAGGAUUAGAUACCCUAGUAGUC